This 876-nucleotide ribosomal RNA is filed under the name uncultured bacterium. RNAcentral describes it as "bacterial SSU rRNA". It matches the Rfam family "Bacterial small subunit ribosomal RNA", at positions 8 to 862 of the family's 1533-position model. The record is from RNAcentral.
AGAGUUUGAUCCUGGCUCAGGACGAACGCUGGCGGCGUGCCUAACACAUGCAAGUCGAACGGAGUAAGUAGCAAUACUUGCUUAGUGGCGAACGGGUGAGUAACGCGUAGACAACCUACCUCUAAAAUGGGGACAACACCGCGAAAGUGGUGCUAAUACCGAAUGUGGUAUCUUGGCUGCAUGGCUAAGAUAAGAAAGAUGGCCACUACAUGUAAGCUAUCGUUUAGAGAUGGGUCUGCGUCUGAUUAGCUAGUUGGUGAGGUAACUGCUCACCAAGGCGACGAUCAGUAGCCGGUCUGAGAGGAUGAACGGCCACACUGGGACUGAGACACGGCCCAGACUCCUACGGGAGGCAGCAGUGGGGAAUCUUCCGCAAUGGACGAAAGUCUGACGGAGCAACGCCGCGUGAGUGAAGAAGGUCUUCGGAUUGUAAAGCUCUGUCGUUUGGGACGAACGUAUUAUGUGUGAAUAAUGCAUAAUAAUGACGGUACCAAAGGAGGAAGCCACGGCUAACUACGUGCCAGCAGCCGCGGUAAUACGUAGGUGGCAAGCGUUGUCCGGAAUUAUUGGGCGUAAAGGGCGUGUAGGUGGGUAAUUAAGUCUUGUGUCUAAGUGCGGUGCUCAACUCCGUAUGGGCGCAGGAAACUGGAUAUCUUGAGUGCAGGAGAGGAAAGUGGAUUCCCAGUGUAGCGGUGAAAUGCGUAGAUAUUGGGAGGAACACCAGUGGCGAAGGCGACUUUCUGGACUGUUACUGACACUGAGGCGCGAAAGCUAGGGGAGCGAACGGGAUUAGAUACCCCGGUAGUCCUAGCCGUAAACGAUGGGUACUAGGUGUAGAGGGUAUCGACCCCUUCUGUGCCGCAAGCAAACACUAUA